GGACUACCGGGGUAUCUAAUCCUGUUUGCUCCCCAUGCUUUCGUGCCUCAGCGUCAGUUACAGUUUAGCAAGCUGCCUUCGCAAUCGGUGUUCUGUGUCAUAUCUAAGUAUUUCACCACUACAUGACACAUUCCGCCUACCUCAACUGUACUCAAGACCGGCAGUAUCAAUGGCAGUUCUGUUGUUAAGCAACAGGAUUUCACCACUGACUUAUCGGUCCGCCUACGCACCCUUUAAACCCAAUAAAUCCGGAUAACGCUCGAAUCCUUCGUAUUACCGCGGCGGCUGGCAC
This 292-nucleotide ribosomal RNA is filed under the name uncultured bacterium. Its description in RNAcentral is "partial 16S ribosomal RNA". RNAcentral also lists the same sequence under 1 other name. The record is from RNAcentral.